RNA transcript from Mercenaria mercenaria, 5930 nucleotides. It is a transcript of the gene named PR domain zinc finger protein 5-like, with no coding region annotated. The transcript is spliced from 3 exons. NCBI's taxonomy places the organism in Eukaryota, Metazoa, Mollusca, Bivalvia, Venerida, Veneridae. The record is from RefSeq and is a predicted model, not a curated record.
GGUUCCUAUACUAAAAUUAGGCCUAUAAUGAAUAGAAGGUAUAAUUAUAGCAUAUCCGACGCAUGCGCAAAAUUACUCGAAGACAGGUCAAUUGCUUGGGCGUUAAAUAAACUUUGCCGAACAAUAAACUGCUUUCACAAAUGUGGCCGAGAAGAUUUAUGAAAUGUGGAUUGUCCUUACAUAGCUAAAAAGAGAAACAUAUUAUUUUAAAGGAACUCAGUAUAGUUUAGGAAUGGGGUUGUCUAGCAGCAAACAGAAAUGGUCUUAUAAGAUCAGCUAUUACCCGGAGGUCGGCCAAAAUCUACAGGGCCAUAUUCUUGACAGUCGCACUAUUCUUAACGCAAAUGAACUGAUGGAACCCUCGAGGGAGAGCAUAUUAUGUGUUUAUUCCUACACAGUUCCGUUGAACAAUAUCCCAGGUGCAAGUUGGUGGUUCUAUCACAGGUUUGUCGUAUUUAAAACAAAUAGUUGGUGGUGGUCAAUAGAGAAGAAUGAUGCAGAAAUAAUAAUACAAAGGGGCGAGAGAGAAGAAGAUGUAAAAGACAGAAUAGAGCGCCAACCAAGAAAAGGAGGGGCAAGAAUAAUACUUGAAAAGAAGAAUUCGUCAAAUAUAAAGAUUAAAGGCCUUCUAGAGGCGAUUGAUGUAAAAAAUGAGUCGCAUGAAAAGUACCAUAUCCUUCAAAGCAAUUGUCAAGAUUUUGGAGAGCGAAUGUACGACAUUCUCCGAGGCACAAUAUAGAGAAUAGAACACCUCAUACAAAUAAAACAUUAACAUAAACAAUACAUAACGCUUUCACAAAAAAGGCACUAUGCAAAUUACUUAUGCUUAAUAACAGCACUUCUUUAUGGUGAAAAUGUAUCUACAUACAGCGGAUUUAAGAAUGUUAUUUAAACUCCUCAGAUAGUUUUAACUGUUAAAUAUGAUGUAAGAUUUUCAUUCUUUCUACAGACGAGGACUAAUGCGCAUCCUUUGAAACACAAAGAUGAUAACAAAACAUCGCCUGAAAAAUGCAAAUAAAUUAUAUUUAACAUUUUAAGUAUCAAGGAAAAGAAGAGGAAUAUACUUAUCAACUGUACUUUCUUGUUUCAACAUUUUUGUGGAUGUAUCAUUUUGGAGAAUAUGGUAUCUACCUUAUGCUAAACUUUUGCUGUUUCCAAAACGCAUGGUCCCUCUGAGAAUGUUUUAUUUCAACAGUAAUAGUGUGCCGAAACAUUCAAGCUGUUCCAUAGCACAAACACAGCUCAGUUUGCAGGACCUCAACAAAAACUAGUUGUAUAAGAAUUAAAAUUGAAAUUCGAAAAUGAACAAAGAAGAUAUUUUACCAGUAAUUUUCCGACUUUUUGGUAACAUUUAUAAGUCCUUUUCAAUUACUAAAUAAUUCAUUAAUGGCAAUAGUUUCAAUUUAUGAGCAGGUGAUUUACCUUACUGAAUAGAAUUAAACAUUUCUCAAACUCUGUUUUCAAGUCUGCCCAUUUCAUUUAUUGACACGAGAAUACAUGUUGUCAUUUUCAGCAUAAUAACAAAACAACCGUAAGUUAAAUAAAGGUAUAAUUCAUUAUACUCAAAAAACAAAAGUUUGUUGACUAAAGUGUAAACUGGCACUACAUUGUAAUAAAAGCUUAAACUCAGAAAUGAUACUUUGAAUACGUUAGAACGCCAGCGCGCGUGUGUAUGCGUGCGUGCGUGAUAAUACUGCUAUAAAUAAAUUGUUUGUUUGAUUUAGAUUUAGCGCAAAAGUAUGUAAUAGCAUGCAUUAUAAUCUUACCUAACCAGUGUACCUCGAUUUUGUACAUGUACUAACCUGUUUCCACUAGCAGCUGUCAACUUCUCCACAUGCAUCAGAAGUGGAGAACGAAAUGACUAAAGACACAAUGUCUUUAAUUUAACGUACGCUUCGCUCGGUGGUCAAAUUCACGACCUCCUGAUUUAUACGUCUGAGCUCUCGAUAUUGAGCUAAAUGAGCAGGAGUAGCAUAAUGAUAGGCAGGUUUUGAUUAACGUUAUCUUUAAUUAGUUGACUUAAUUUGUUUAUCAGAGUCAAGUAUACUUAAACUCCUUCCAAGACAAAUGUUAACUAAAUAGUAUGCUAUGGAGAGAAUUAUUUGAAAAUCUACUUUAAAUCAUUAUUCUACUUAUACAAGAACAUUUAAAGUUUACGAAAAUUAGUGACUUUUCUAGUCCGAUCAAUUCGUAACAGAAAAUGCCAAAAUACUUCAGAAAAUGGGAAAAGCACCAAACUUGGCACAGCUUUUUAUUAAAUCAUAAAAAAAAAACAUGUUUUCAUGGGACCCAUUUGAUAUCUGUCAAGAUGGCCAAUACGGCGGCCAUUUUCCAAAAUGGCCGCCACAACUCCAUAUUUACCUUACAAGAUUCUAAUGAAAGGUCAUUAUAUUUACAUUCAUCCCUAAAUUCACUAAAUAUUAAUGUAUAUGAUAAAUUUAAUCCUAAAUUCAAAUGCAAAAAUAACAAUUCAAAUAAUGUUAAUUUCUUUCUGUUUCCAUGGUAACGUCUAAAAUCUAGCCUUUAAAACUCAGUUUAAUAUUAUCAUUGUAUUUUGUCAUAUUUUAACGGAUGUUUUGUUUUACUAUAUGUAAUUUACAUGAUUUUAUAUGCAUUUCCUCAGCAGCAGGAUACUGAAACAUUGUUGUUAUUCCCCCACCAUUGUUAAGCCAGAGGGGGCUUAUAGGUUGCCCCCAUAUGCCUGUCAAUACGUCAGCCAUGCAAAGUAGGAUACUGCAAUAACUUUAAAGCUACAGCAGGUAUUUUCAAGAUACGUGGUAUAUGGAUAGAUGGCAUUGUUGCCAAUGUCAUUUAAAUUUGUUCCUAUGGCAACAAAUGUUGUUGCUAUGGCAACAAAUAGUGCACGGAUAUGACAAAAAGUGUCAUCCUGCAUUUCUUCAAAACUAGGAGAGAUUGUUCCUUGAGAAUUGUUCAUAGAUAGGAGGAAAAUUGAAAACAUGCUUAUUUUCCCCUCUUGUACAUCAUUUUGUCCGUCUGUAUGUCCGUCCAUCAUUUGCAAAUGGCGGAUUCUUCAAUAACUUCAAAAGUGCAAAUUCUAAAGACUCCUUUAUGAAAACUUGUUUAUAGAUGGUAGGUAAUAUAGAGAAUGUGAAGGUCAAUUAACUUAGUUUCUAUAUAAAAUUGUAGUUCCUAUGACGUACACUAAGUACGACAACUAUCCCUUUCGGUUUGGGACUUCGAAAUGCAAGAAUAGAUUAUAGCGAUGGGCUAGUAGGAUCAAAUGAAACAACAUGCCUUAUUAUGCACCCGCAGCCACAAUGUCUGCAUAAUAAGUUAAUCACAUAAUCAUUGAUUAUGUAAUGCUAACUGUGUAACAAAGAAGAGUAAGGCUGAAAAUAUUAAAGUUGCUUUCACGGACAACAUUACGUAUAACGAUAACUAUUCUGCUAAAUAUAUUACUCUGCACAGUGAGCUGAAAUCUGAAAUAAGGUACAUGUCAGAUACUCGUGUCAGUACACACAAGCACGAGAUUGUCGACAACUUAAGUUAACUUGCAUAAGGCAGUGCAGAGCAUUUCAGCACUUUUGACAAAUUACAUCUUCCUCGACAGCCUUUAUCUAGGUUGCAAAUGCACUUGAGGAGCUAUUGGUAUGAGCCUCAGGUACUUGAGGCAAAAACUACCAGAAAGGUUCCAAUUUAUCAAAGAUACCUCUGGUCAGCCUUAUUUAUCUGGACUUGGAAUUUUAGGAAAGUGAUUGAUCGCAAACGACAAGAAGAAGAAGAAGAAGGAAAGUGAUAGAACAUCUGACCCCCAUAUGUGCCCGACCUAAUGGGCAACCUUUUUUAGUAUGUUCAAGAGGUGUAGCAGACGAUGCAGGAAUGCACAAUAUAGCACUAAUCUUUGUGUGAACAGAUGGUUGAUUAGCUACUUGACAUGUUUUGUUGUAAAGAAGAGUAUCGAAAGCCUCCAUCUAUACCACAGAAAUAUUAUAUGAACAGUUUGUUUGUAGGAAGGUGUAGAAAAUGCAUUUUAAAGCUUGAUUCACCGGUAAGCGCGAGCUGUACUUGUUAGUUUUGUUUGACAAGACAGUGUUAUUCUUACAUUGGACUGCUCAACUGGUAGUGGCAUAGCCUUGCAAAUGGCAAAUAGAUAAUAUUUGUUGUCUUUAAACUAGUAAACUGGUGUUAAAAUUGUUUUUCGGAUACACGUGCUCAUUAGAUAAAUCCUCAAGUACUCGCAUUUAAUAUGUCCUUAUCUAAUAUAUUUUAAUUUCAGUAAAAUGUCCAGAAAUAGAUAUUAGAGCACAAUUUUUGUAGAAAUGAUAGAUUCUGCUCCUAAUUUAUACCCCCAUCACACUCAGCCACGUUUCCACUACGUCCUAAAAACUGGCAGGAUGCAGUAAGAACUUGUACAAUGCAGAAGGAAUAGAGAAGACACAGAAGAACAUGAUAAUUAUAGUCUCCACGAGAGAUGUUCAACACAAACUUACUGCAAACCUUUUGUAUGUAAAUUUUAACCCUCUAAAGAAGUACAUUUUAUCUGAUGUCUAACCAUAUGUUCGGAGCCAGGGGCAAUAAAAAUGUCAAUGUAGACACAACCGGCUGGAGUAACUCCCCUCUUAAUGAAGAACACAUAUAUACCUCUUUCAUUUGUAAAUCAGAACAAACACACGGACAGAAGCCGUGCUUCUAGAAAACCAGAUGCGCUUGAAACGAUCUUUUUCAUCAUUAUAACACACGGUACAUAUUGUAUGCAGCAACCUUUGAUAUCUCUCUUUUUUCAAAUAGUUUGGGUGGAUGAAACAUAAAGUAAAACUCAUGGAAUCAUUUAUAUUCUUAAUAUUUACUUAUAAAUGAAUUUACUUUCUAGAAAGAAACAUAAGACAAAAAUGUGGAGAUUGAAAGAAUUAACACAAAAAAAUCAACUCUGAAAAUACCAAAAGGAUCAUUUCGCAACAGGUUUUACUGUAUUUUUUCUGGCUAUUCUAGCUAUUCUGGCUAGCCAUGGUAGCUAGAACCAAUGGGCAUCUCGGAAAUUCUGGCUGUACUGCACUUCUCCUCGUUGCUAUCUACUUAUAUGCUGUAAUGGGCUGACGAACAUAUUCGAUUACUGACCCGGUUUAACCAGAUUUAGCUAUUUAAAUAAGAAAAAUAAUCUUUAAAGUUUGGAUGUCUCGAAACCCAUAUGCUUGAAUGUUGUCAAUUUACGUCAUGGCAUAGUAAAUCUGCACAUCAAUCACACGUGUAAUUAAUUAUCUUGAUGUAGCUAAUUAUCUUGAUUAACAAAUCAAAACACGCACUUCUUGCAAGAUGUAUAAUUUCAAUUAUCGUACAAUACAGCUGAAUUCAACAAUUUCAACUUGGAUUGUUCUACAAUGUUAAAACACUGUUACACAUUGCACAAAGAUACGUUGUACAAAAUUAAAACAUUGCUAUACAUUAUCCACAGAUAUGUUGUACAAAGUUAAAACAUUGCUACACAUUACCCAAAGUUAAGUUGUACAAAGUUAAAACAUUGCUAUACAUUAUCCACAGAUACGAUGUACAAAGUUAAAACAUUGCUACACAUUACCUAUAGAUACGUUGUACAAAGUUGAAACAUUGCUAUACAUUAUCCAUAGAUUCGUUGUACGUAGUUAAAACAUUGCUAUACAUUUUCAACAGAUAAAUUGUACAUAGUUAAUUGCUAAAAAAUAUAUACAGAUAUGCUGUUCAAGUUCCGCGACAGCAUGCAAAAACCAGAGUUCUUGGACGAUUGUAGAUAUUGUACAAUAUCAACAAUCAACGGUUGAAAUCGACACACUGGAUUGUUAUUUGCAACACAUUGUUGGCGUAAGGUAUUUAUGGAGGAACAGUCCUUGUGCUUUGAAGAAGUGUGCUUUAUAUGAUAGCGAUACUCAGUUGCCGGUUCCACCUUUCAAAAAGAUUUUUGGACCAUCAGAAGAAUCUGUGAUUUGAUAAUUGAGCUU